UGGUCGUGGGUGGGGAGGUCACAGUGGUGGGGGUUGGUGUUGGGGGUCUCUGUGGUGGUGGUUGUGGUGGUGGUGGUCGGGGUUGAGGUCUCUGGGGUGGUGGUGGUGGUGGUGGUGGUGAUGGGGGUCACGGUGGAGGUCUCAGUGGUGGUGGGAGAAGCUGUGGAGAAACACAACCCACAGCAGUACACGUUGAUCUCAUAGUUGAGGCAGUGAGGCAUGGGGAUGCGUCCCCCAGGCUUCUGGUCUUGUUUGUUUUUGCACACCAGUCCAACUGAAGUGUCACACACCCACCGUUUGUCCAAGCUGUUUGAUGGGAACGUUUGGAUACCUCUGGGCUCUGCAGGCGAUGUCGGCUACCCAGCCUCUUCCACAGACAUCUCUGAUGGGUUCAAUGUCGGCACCUUGUUUGGUCACAUUUGGUUUACCAGAAUCCAGCCCACCCAGUCCAUUGGCAGUCGUCCCAACACAGCGUGGUCUCAGUGGUCGUGGGUGGGGAGGUCACAGUGGUGGGGGUUGGUGUUGGGGUCUCUGUGGUGGUGGUUGUGGUGGUGGUGGUCACAGUGGUGGGGGUUGGUGUUGGGGUCUCUGUGGUGGUGGUUGUGGUGGUGGUGGUCGGGGUUGAGGUCUCUGGGGUGGUGGUGGUGGUGGUGGUGGUGGUGAUGGGGGUCACGGUGGAGGUCUCAGUGGUGGUGGGAGAAGCUGUGGAGAAAACACAACCCACAGCAGUACACGUUGAUCUCAUAGUUGAGGCAGUGAGGCAGGGGGAUGCGUCCCCCAGGCUUCUGGUCUUGGUUUUUGCACACCAGUCCAACUGAAGUGUCACACACCACCGUUUGUCCAAGCUGUUUGAUGGGAACGUUUGGAUACCUCUGGGCUCUGCAGGCGAUGUCGGCUACCCAGCCUCUUCCACAGACAUCUCUGAUGGGUUCAAUGUCGGCACCUUGUUUGGUCACAUUUGGUUUACCAGAAUCCAGCCACCCAGUCCAUUGGCAGUCGUCCCAACACAGCGUGGUCUCAGUGGUCGUGGGUGGGGAGGUCACAGUGGUGGGGGUUGGUGUUGGGGUCUCUGGGGUGGUGGUGGUGGUGGUGGUGG
RNAcentral lists this long non-coding RNA (1096 nucleotides) under Equus asinus (donkey). RNAcentral's name for it is "lncRNA (ENSEASG00005025026.1)". The record is from RNAcentral. Lineage: Eukaryota; Metazoa; Chordata; Mammalia; Perissodactyla; Equidae.